Molecule: ribosomal RNA, 332 nt
Filed under: Forstera sp. LB-2014a
Lineage: Eukaryota; Metazoa; Arthropoda; Arachnida; Araneae; Cyatholipidae
Description: partial 12S ribosomal RNA
Source: RNAcentral
AAAGAAUUAUUUUGGUAGUAUUAUUUUAUAAAUAAACCAAUAUAUUUUGGCGGCAUUUUAUUUUAUUAGAGGAAUAUGAUUAUUAAUCGAUAAUCCACGCUAAUUUUUACUUUUAUUAAAAUUUUAUAUACCGCCAUUAUAGAAUUAAUAAAAAUAUUUUUUCAAAAUUUUUAUUUAUUUAAAAAAAAAUAGGUAAAGGUGUAGAUUAUAUAAAAGAUCAAUUGUAUUACAUUAAAAAUAAUUUAAGGCUCUUAUAUAAAUUAUAUUAGUAAAAAAGAAUUUAUAAGUAUUUUUUAAAAAUUAUUUAAAAUUGAAAUAAAUUAAAAAUGUGC